RNAcentral lists this ribosomal RNA (253 nucleotides) under uncultured bacterium. Its description in RNAcentral is "partial 16S ribosomal RNA". It matches the Rfam family "Bacterial small subunit ribosomal RNA", at positions 524 to 776 of the family's 1533-position model. The record is from RNAcentral.
UACGUAGGGCGCAAGCGUUGUCCGGAAUUAUUGGGCGUAAAGAGCUCGUAGGCGGUUUGUCGCAUCUGCUGUGAAAUCCCCAGGCUCAACUUGGGGCGUGCAGUGGGUACGGGCAGACUAGAGUGCGGUAGGGGAGACUGGAAUUCCUGGUGUAGCGGUGGAAUGCGCAGAUAUCAGGAGGAACACCGAUGGCGAAGGCAGGUCUCUGGGCCGUUACUGACGCUGAGGAGCGAAAGCAUGGGGAGCGAACAGG